Cinara cedri is the source of this 1177-nucleotide non-coding RNA. The record is from the annotation of a GenBank genome assembly. Lineage: Eukaryota; Metazoa; Arthropoda; Insecta; Hemiptera; Aphididae.
CUGUUAAACGAACUGACUUCCGUGCAAUUUUUGCGAGCUUCUGGGUUUUAAAAUAAAAAAAGUACCUAUGUAUGUACAAAUAAUUUCAUAAAAAGUGCAUUUUCAAGUGUUCACAUUGUAUAAGUAUUAUUAUUAUUAUGGUCUUGUGCAGUGAGGAAAAACACAAUGUGGACGAUUUAUUGUCCGUCGAUGAAUUCGUCGAGAAAAAAUCAUUUCGCAUAUGGAUUGACUCGGCGAGAAGAGAUCCGACCGGGAUAAACGCCAUGGACAUUGACGGAUGGCUAAAUAUAACAGGGAAUAACGGAGUGAAAAGGUUGAAGCGGACGAAGACUUGAACGGUCUGAUAUUAGCCUAACAAGAAGAAUAACAUAUUUUUAUUAGGUUGGGGUAUUUAAAAAUAUUCUAACAGAUAUUUUAACUGACUUCCAAUGGAGUAUUACAAUAGGUAGCAAAUAUUAUUGUAAUAAUUUUGUACGAUUAUAUCAGUAAUCAUAUUUGAACUUCCGCCCUCUCGAUAAACAUUAUCGUGUUUAUAGGUUUUAUUGGUGUACAUUAUUCAAUUUACAAACGGAUCUACUUUAUUAUGUACAUCAGUAUAUUAUAAUAUAAAUACCAAUACGAAUAGGUUUCAUGUAUAAAAUAUACGUCGUUUCGUACAAGAGGCAUUAUUUGUAUUUACUUUUCACUGCCGGUUGUUUGUAAAAGUGUUUGAUUAAUGUCAAUUUUAACAUAUACAAUAAUUUAUUGAAUUCGAUUGGGAAUUAUACGACAACGGCGCGCCGACGCGACGUUAAUUAUCGGUUAGGUUUCGUUUUAGACACGUAAAUUACGUACCUAUUUAGAAACCUGAACCUUAACACGAUGCUUUUUAUUACUUGUUUUUUAUUAUUUUUUAUUUUAUUUAUAUAGAAAAUCCGAGGCUAUACUCGUGACACUCGUAAAUAGUUUUCACGCAGAUAUUAUUUUUUGUGUAGGUAUACAAAAACAUACAUAAUGUUGUAAUUUAUGUUCCUACAUAAAACUUUAUAAUUCGUAAAAAUAUCCAACUAAUAAAACGUUUAAGAAGAAAACGGCAUUUAAAAAAAAAAUACAUAAUACUUUUAAUUUAUACAAACAAAUUUAAAGCUAAAAAACACUCUACGUAUUGAUGAAGUAUUCUUGAAUUCUAAAAUGCUGU